RNAcentral lists this long non-coding RNA (13934 nucleotides) under Gossypium raimondii (Peruvian cotton). Its description in RNAcentral is "long non-coding RNA (GRAI_LNC006166)". The record is from RNAcentral. Lineage: Eukaryota; Viridiplantae; Streptophyta; Magnoliopsida; Malvales; Malvaceae.
GAAUUUAAGCUCACACCGACCUCUUGUCUAUUGAAGACAAGAAAAUGGUUUGGGGUAUGUCCAUUUUUACCUUUACAUGUGGCUCUAGGCCAUCCAUAAUUUCAUAAUCUUAUUUGCCAUCUAUGCCUUAGGGGUUGAACAUUACAAGAUUUGGAACCACAGUUUGCCAAAUUCUUGCUCGUCUCCCACAACGUGCCAUUUUCCUAACUCUCAACUACUAGUCUAUGUACUAUACUUUUGCCUUCUACAUUCUUCUACCAUGUGUUUAUAAACAAGUGCAGCCCCAAACAUUGAUCUACUCAACACUUGGCGCACCACAAUGGCUCACCACUGGCAUCCCCCACCUCCACCAGACCCCUUUGCACCCCCACCACCUGGACCUCCGGCAACACCUCCACCAGACCCCUUUGCUCCACCACCGCCAGGGCAUCCGGCACCACCUCCGCCAGACCCCUUCGCACCACCUAUGUUUGGGCAGCCUCCACCGCCUAACACUUCUGCACCAGCACCACCUAUUCCGCACAAUCCGCCACCACCUCCUCCAGGUCCAGGAGGACCUCCUCCACCACCCCCAUAUUAGCCUAUAGCAUAAAAUUUUGAUUAGAUUCUCAUAGGAUUGUAACAAUAAAUAAGAGAGUAUAUAUUGUUAUGUUGAAUGUUGGAAGUGCAUGAGAGUGAAAUAAUAAACUUUAUGUUACAAUAAAUGAGUCGGUGGUUGUUCACACCCAAAUUCAAAAUAUAAGAAAUAAAUUUUGUAUUUGAUUUAUGUCAUGUGUUGUUUGGAACGUAACCAACCCUGAUGCAAGUCAGUUUUUAUUUCAUUCCCUUCACUUGUGUAACCUAUCAAAUAUCAAGAAAUUAUUAAAAUAUUUCUUUUGCCUAAUAAAUUAUAUUGUUAUGGGAUAUAUUCAUCUUUUACAUAAUCCUAAUAAAUUUUACUAUUUCAACAGCAAUUUCAGUUAUUUUUUGUAUGAAUUUUUAAAUAUAUUUUUAACAUAAUUUAUGUAAUAAAUCAGAAGUAAAUAAACAAUAAAUAUAAAAUCAAAAUUAAAAGUCAAAAAACAGUCCCUUUACACUGGGCUCAAUAUGGCCCAAACUAAACACAACCCCUACCCAAAAUCAAAUUACCCAAUACACCCCAGUCCAACUACCCAAAACCCACUAAAAUCCAAACCAGCGUCGUUGUUUUAAGGGUUUUAUGCGUGAUAUAAAAACGGCGUCGUUUAGCGGCCUUUUGACCCGCGUGGUGACCCGACCCGAGGGAAGGAUCCGCGCAUUUCAUCUCAAUGGUCUAUUUUCACAAUGAGCCCCUCUGCGUUUUGUGUUGUUUUAAAUUUGAUUUUCAUUAAUUUUUUAAUUUGUAUUGCACAUUUGGUCUCGAUUUCAAAUGGAUCUGCGUUCAAACGGUGCCGUUUCCUAUGUUUGAUUUUGAAUAUCAGGAUUUUUGUGUUUAAUUGCUGCAUUAGUCCCUUCAAUUUCAAAAAACUUCAAAUCGGUUCUCUUUUAUUUUAUUUUAUUUAUUUUCAAAUUUUGCCUCAAACACUUGCUUUAAUCCUUUUUGUAUACUUGUUUUUUUUAAAAAAAAAAAGAAAGAAGAUUAACGAAUUUGACGUCAAUGUUAUUAUUAUUAUUAUUAUUAGUUUUAUUUCCCCUUUUUAUUUAUUCGUUAAUAUAUUGAAUAGUUUUGCUCUUUAGGUUUAUUUUUUUAUUCUAUAUAUAUAUAUAUAUGCAUUAUGCUUGUACAUACAUUUUUAUACUUUAUUUAUGCAUGCAUACAAACGCAUUUUUAUUUUAUAAUAUAUGCCUAUAUAUAUCUAUAUACCUUUUAUUAUUUUCCUAUAUAUAUACAUACACACAUGUAUCUUUUAUAUUUAUAAUUUCUAAAAUAUGUAUAUAUGCGUAUAUACUUUUUUUUGUAUUUUCAUAUAAAGAUAUUUUAUAGAAUAUUAUUUUUUAUAUAUACAAUUUAUAUAUAAUUUAUUCUAUAGGUAAAUUUUUGUAUGUAUUAUUUAUUUUAAAGGUUUCGUAUGGUUACUUUAUUGAUUUAUAUGUUACCUUCUGCCAUGCCAUUUUUUUAGUCAUUUCAAAACAUAUACGUUGGAUUUGCUUGCUUUUAGGUUUUACUAGCUUUUAGAUAUCAACGUUAAUAGUUGCAUAAUGUAUAAUAUAAGAUGGUUGCUUUUAUGUGCGUUGUAUUGUUUAUUUGUAUCAUAUAGAUUCUUUGUUGCUCAUUAGCUUAUAUUAGGCUUACGAAUUUUUCUUUCGCGAUAUACAUUGUCGUCCCAUCUCGUUUUAUUCGUCAAAAAGUUUAUAUUCGAUUUAAAUAUUAAAGUUGUUUUACUCAAAAAUUUUCAAAAUAACGCGAUACUCGGAAUUUGGGGAUCCUCUAAAAGAUUGUGUCCUAACUUACUAGAUUCCAAUCUUCCUCGGGAUCUAGGAGACCGAAUAUUCCUUUUAAUAAACAUACAAAUUUCAAAAAAAAACUCAUUCUCGGGAAUUCGACACGUUGUGUCCUAACACAUUGGAUAUGACAUGUUAUUUUCUCGAGACGAGGAUUUUAAAAAUAAAGGCAAUGUUCGAUAGUUAGGAAUUUUGUGAAAUCGAACCCUAACUUACUGGGUUUUGAUUUUCUCAUUUGACCCAGAUAAUCGAAUAUCUUUCUCAAAAUGCAUAGGUUUUAAAAGACGAGAGAUAAAUUUAAUUUUGAGGAUUUAAAAUUUCGCACUCUAACUUACUGAAUGUGACAAUUUAUUUCUUCGAAAUAAGUGACCCUUACCAUCCAAUUCAUUUUACUUAAAUUUUCUUUUCAAAUGACCGUAUUCUAAAAUCUUUUCAAAAUUUCGACAUUAAGACAUUAAACAAUCAAUUCGGUACCAAUUUUGGGCGUCACGAGGGUGCUAACCCUUCCUCGUGCGUAACCGAGUCCCGAACCUGUUUUCUCAAAAUUCGCAGACCUAAAAUUAUUUUCAAGAUGAUCCGAUCACACCACAAUAAAAGAUCGGUGGCGACUCCAUUUCCAUUUUCAAAAUCGAUACCCAUUUUUCAAAUUUCAAAAAAGAGGUUUCAACAAUUUCUUUUUCACAUAAGUGAAAAUAAUAUAAUGUUUUUAUGGAUUUCCACGAAAAAGAAAAUCCUUCAGAAAAUUAAAACAAAGUUUGUGUUCACCUACAAAUUUGUUUUUCUUGAAAUAUCCUUUAGUAAGAAUUUUCCGAAAUAAUUAUUUAAUAUUUUCCAAUUUCCUAUUUGGGGCCUAAUAUUGCUUUGCAAAACCCAUUGAAAAAAAAUGAUACAACAACCUUUUUGUCCUCUUAACUUCAUUAAAAAAGAAAAAAAACUCAUUUUAACUUUACUUUUAGCUCAUGAACUUGCAUCUUUUGUCAAAUCACCUCAAAAUGUAUAGAAAAGUUAACAUUUGUUAUUAACUCUAUUGACGUGGGCAUACACAUGAAUUACCAUGAGGAUGACAUGUCAACAUUUAAUUAAUUUUUAAAAUUUUAAAAAUACUAAAAUAUAUUUUUAUAACUUUUAUAUGAUUUUAAUCAUUGCAAUGAUUUUUAAUUUUUAAAAAUAACUUUUUGAAAAUUUUAAAUUUUAAAAAAUUAAUUAAAUGCUAAUGUGUCAUCCACAUAGUAAUUCACUUGUAUGCCAUGUCAGAAAAGUUAAAAAAAUGUCAACUUUUCAUCAAUUUUGGGUUGAUUUGAUAAAAAAAAAUACAAGUUUAAGGGCUUCAAAAGAUUAAAAUUUAAAUGAAUGGCUAAAAUAUUUUUUUUUAUAAAACAGGAGGGAAAAAUAAGUAUUUAUGCCAAAAAAAUUCCUUUUAACAAAAAAAAAGGAAAAUUGUUCUUUUUUCUUUCCAACAAGGAAACAAAAACAUAAAAGAUAGUGCACCUACAAUGUGAGUGAAAAUUUUAUAUGAUAAAAUUUCUAAAAAAUGAUAUAAUUAUUAAAUAUAUUUUUUGUUGAAAUAAUAAAGUUUAGUUAUUAAAUUUUAUAAGAUUUUGGGUUCGAAUAUUAUUAUAUGCAAAUAUUUUUUAAAAUUUUAUAUAAAAAGAAAAAUUAGCCCUCAAAAUAAUAAGUAUUGCUUUGUAAAAAUAAGAGACUUUUCAUAAAUUUACCACUGGGUUAGGUCCUGAUUGAAGAGUAAUACCAACUUAGUAAGAAUCUUAAAUAUUAGUACAGGCAAAUUAAUUUUUGAAUCAAUUAAAAAAUAUCACAUGUCAAGUCGAAAUUACCGUAAGUUUAAAAUAAUGACAUCAUAUACUAAUGUUAUAAUUAUUUUUCUCUACUUAAUUUAGAUCAAUUAAAAGAUACAUAAUAAAAAUUUAUAUUAUCACUAAUUAAACUAAAAUGAUUAAGUGAUAAUAUUAUAUUAUUAUUUUAGAGUAGAUAAAAUAGAUUAAUCUUUGUAAAUCACUCAAUUGAAAAGUUAACAUUUAACAAGUACUUUCUUUUUUUUGACAAAAAAAAAAAAACAAGUACUUUCUUUUACUCGAGUAAUUGGCGCUAUAAAAAGGGCCACCUCCAAUCCAUUGAACACAUAUUCAUAAGUUCAAAAGUCCAAAAGUCCUCUUAAGAAGUCUUUGAAGAAAUUGAAAAGCUUGAAGAAAUUUUGACGAGCACCAUAUCAGUUAUAAAGGAAAAUCGUUGUAACACCCCGUUAUCUGACCCAACUGUCGGGUCCGAGUUACAAAGUGCUACAUUUGUUGCCGGAGCAACUAUAAUUAUAUUCAAUCACAGUCCGUUAAACAUUCAAAUAUAGCUAGAACAUGAGUAUCAAACGAUACAUAAUCGUUACCGGGUCUUAUACGAACUUAUGAAAGCUUUUCUAAUCACCUAAUGUCGAAAUAGGGACAAACUGUAAAAAAAUUAAGAUUUUCAGUUGAUGUUGCAACGCUGAAGGUUUCUCAUCACGGUGCAACUCUCUAUUUGAUGCUCGUUAUGACCUUGAAUCAUGACGUUGCCACAUGGCUUUGUGGUCGCAACGUCAGAGGUUUGUCGUCAUGACGUGACUCACUAUUUUCACAAUAGCCAACUUGGUACGAGUUUAGGAAACCUAAAAUUAUAUUUAAAAACUUUCCAUUCUACUAUACCAUGUUUGGGAAUGUGUCCAUAUUGUAGUAAACAUGUAAUAGUUUUCUAUGUAUUUGAACAAUGAAUAAAUAAAUAAAGUUAAUUUUAUAUUUCAUUGUUAUAUAUUUUGUGUUUCUGUCUUUCAUGUUUUGCAUACAUAGAAAAAUUAUGAAUAGUAAAUAUUAGCUCAUUGAUUGUCUAAGUUCAAAUUGAUGAUAAGUGGAAUUGUAAGAAUAUUUAAAUUAUAAGAAAUACAGCUUACUUCAGUAGAUAAUCUAAAAGAGUCCGUAAUGCCGUAAAAGAAUCAAAGUGAGUGUAACAGCCUGUUUUCAAUGAAAUCAGAACAGUAGUUUUGGGACCACAAAUCCGAUGUAGAAAAUUUUAUUUUAAUAUUAAUAUGUGUCUACAGCGUGAUAGUAUUAUGGUAUAAAAAUUUCGUUAAAAAAUUUUACCGUUUGUAUGCUCAAUUUGUGAAAAAAGACUAAAUCGCGUAAAGUGUGAAAGUUGUAUUCUAUUAGCUAAAGGUGUUAAAUAGCUAUAGAACUUUAAAUUGGAUGUCCUUAUAUGGUAAUUAAACCAUUAAUUGAGUUAGUGGAUGUGCAUAGCUUGGCAAUUAUGAAAUUUUUAAAGUUAAGUAAGGGUAAUUUGGUAAAAAGCCAAUUAAUGAUAAAAUAAAAUAGAGUAAAAGUGUUAUCAUCUUUAAUUCAUCUUCUUCCAACCGAUUUUACCAAGUAAAGAAGCCAUUUUUUUCCUUGAAGCUAGGUUCGGCCAAGAACUUCAUCCAUGUGAGUGAUUUUUUAUUCUGUUUUUGUUAAUUUCUAUGUUUCUAGGAUCGUUGUAGCUUAACCUAGCUAGCCCGAGGAUUAAUUUGAAAAAAUAUUGAAUAGUUUUAGAUUUUCCAUUGAUGAAUCUUUUAAGUUUUUGAAUUUUAAUGGAAGAAAAUGAAUCUUUGUUGUUAAUUAAACAACUUUUGUUAAGUAAAUUUUGAUAAAAUUGUCAAUUAGGGGUUAAAUUGAGAAAUGUGAAAAUUAUGUGAAAUUGUGAAAUGUAUGGGCUGCUAUAAACAUAUAUAAAAUUUGGUUAGGCUUGGUUAGGGGAUAAAUUGUAUGAAUUUCAUUUUACGAGCCUAGGGACUAAAUUGUAAAGAAGUCAAAAGUAUAGGGGCAAAAUAGUAAUUUUUCUAUAAUAUGAAUUUUGGGUUGAAUUGAAUAGAAUGAUGCCUAAAUGAGUUAAAUUUGAUUAUAUAGAUCGAGAAAAGCAACGUACGGAAUUAGAUCAAGGGAAAUAUAAAGUUUUGGAUUGAACGAUCAUUUUUCUUCGUACGUGUUCAAGGUAAGUUCGUGUAAUUAAAUUCCGUAUUUAUAUGCUUUAAUUGAAAUAUAUGUAUGUGAAUGGUUUAAUUAUUAUGUAUAAUUAUCGAGUGUAUACUCGAUGACAUACGAGAAAUACCGAGCCCCGUUUGAACUUUAGGAAUUCGUAGGAUACAAAUGACAUGUCAUUAAGGUUACCAAGUUGGUUGUGGUCCUGCAUGUGUUGCGAACACACUAAAGCUCGUAUGAGCUUAAUGAUUUCAGCUCGUGAUAGAUUACCUAUUCACAAUUUGUAUGAGCUUACCAUUAUUUAACUCGGAGGAGCUUACCGUUUAUCGUUCGUAUGAGCAUACAUGUACAAGAAUUGACGAAUUUACAGUUUAGUAUACCUCGUGUGUAUUACCUGUGUAUCUAAUGAUAUUCCAAGUGGUUCAACGGGCAUAGUGUUAUUAUGAGAUCAUAUAAGUUCGAUACGAACAAUUACAAGUAUUUACAUGGAAAUGAUAUAUGUAUGUUAUACGAAUACACGGUAUAGAUGGUACAUGUACAUGGAAUUUAAUAAUUGUUGAAUUCAUACAUGUUUCUCAGUUUUAUAUGAAUACAUGGCUAACUUGGUUAAUGGUUAUGUGAUAGGCUUUGGCCAAAUAGAAUUGUGUUAUGCUUUGAGUUACUUACCUAAAUUUGUGGUUAAAUGGUAAGUUUAAUUUUGUAUUAUACAAACUUACUAAGUUUAAUUGCUUACUCUGUUUAUUUUUCCGUGUUUUAUAGUGAUUCAUAAGCUCGUUCGGAUUGGAAGUUGUCGGAGACAACAUCACACUAUCAAACGAUAUUUUGGUACUUUUGACUUUAUAUUUUGGGUUAAAUGACAUGUAUAGGUCAUUUUGGCUAAUGAUAGCCUAUAUGUUUUGUUGUGUUUUAGCCAUUUGUGUUGGCUUAUUUUGUGAACAUAUUUUGUUAUGUAAAUAUGUAAAUAGCUUUAUUGUAUAUGAUGUAUGGUUGCCAUGUGAAUGCCUUGGUUGUGAAUUAGUAUUUUGGAUACCAAAUGAUUGAGAUUGAUAAGCGUUAUAUAUGUUAUGUUUUAGGCACAAUGAUGCAUAUAUAUGUUGGACCAUUUAGGUACACUUUGGAGGCAUAAUUGACAAAUUUUAAAUUGGUUAUUUGAAGUGUCUACUGGUAUCAUAUGUGUAUGUGAUGUUUUAACAAGUUAUAAGCUUGAUAUUAGUUGGUUUUGAAUGUCUAAUUAUGCCAUGGUUAUAUGCAAAUUUUGGUGUUUAAGUUGGUACAAAUUUGGGUGAGAAAUAUGGCUUGGAAAAUGGCCUAUUUUUGCCCACACGGGCAGAGACACGGGCGUGUGUCUCAGCCGUGUGUGACACACGGCCAGGUGACACGUCCAUGUGUCCCCUGUAACUUCUAUAGAAAACAAGUCAGUAGCUUCACACGGCCUAGCACACGGCUUGGCACACGGGAGUGUAAGGCCAUUUCGAAGGGUAUAUGCCUGGCACACGGGCGUGUGGUCUGGCCGUGUGACCCAAGUCGGUGAGUUACACGGGCUAGGACACUGGAAAGAACAUAAGCGUGUGGUCCUAUUUCAAAUGUCCAUACAGUCUAGCCACACGGGCAUGUGUCCCCUGCACUUUAAAAAUUUUACAUGUUUUUCUGAAAAAUUUCUUGAGUACUCAGUUUAGUUCCGAACUAUUUUUAAUUUCUAUUUGGGGCCUUGACCAUACGUAUAAAACUCGUGUGCUUUGAUAUAAGUUGAGGCUUAUUCUUUAAAGAUGAUCGAGCACUUAAUCAAUAUGUUAGGUACAUGACUUGUGUAUGUCAUGGAUUUACUGGGAACAAAUUCAUAGCUCGAUUAAAGAGUUAACGGUAUCCUCUCAUUGGCAUUGUGUGGAUUGAUAAAUAUGGAACGUGGCCACGGGUUGCUUGUUCUUAAACGAACAAUUUAUCACAGUUAUUUGUUGACAGUGAUUAUAUUAAUCAUUAUGAAGACACAAUGGUGACAAUGAGAUAAAAUAGAAUUGUAUUGAGUGAACGGAUUGCACUCAAAGAAAUCAAGGAUAUUAUAUGAGGGUAACACACUCAUGACGAGGUCAUUAGACAAAACAAUUGGAUGGAUUGUUUUUAUAAAGAGUAUACAAUAAGGAGUUUUUAAUCUUGGAACUUCUUGUGAACUGGCUUCAUGAUUAAGUAAAUUGCGAAUUAUCGAACGAUACUUCUAGACAUAAUUGUAAUUACUAGAGCUUAAUUGUACAUGUCCGAUUGGUCCUUCCGCUGCUCAAUAAAAACCAGAUCGGACUACAUUUGAAUCAGAAGAAAAUUCUAUGACUUUGAAAAAAAUUUAAUUGAGUUGAUGCCAUGGAGUAUUUCAUCCACCGUUUCUGACACCACUAAAAAACGGGAUAUUACAUUUACUAUCCCAGCGGACUAUCUCUAUUUUGUGUUUAGUGUCCCAACGGACUAUCUCAUCUGUUUUUACUAUCCCAAUAGACUGUCUUUGUUUUGUGGAUGCCAUGGAGUCUUUCACCCGUGGUCUUGCUCAUUAUACUUGGAUGUCAUAACAUCUUUCAUCUAUGGUCUUACAUCGUAUACCUUAUACCUUGUACCGUGCUGUCAUGACAUCUUCCAUCCAUGGUCUUACGUUACAUACCUCAAACUAGACUGUCAUAAUAUAUUUCAUCUAUGGUCUUGCGCCAUAUAUCAUCGUCAUUGUAUCGCCCCGAAGGACCAGUCAAUACUGCCGUCGCGGUAAACAUCUCUCUAUGGUUUUUAUUUCCCAAAUUCUCCUCCCAUUACCUCCUUUACACCGCCUAACAUUGAUGCUCGAACACCGCAGUGUUCCCUUCGCAAUGCCCGGAAUUUCGCCCAUUGAGGUAUCUAAAAGGUUCACUCCUCAUUUCCCAUCCUAAUUUCACCUAUCCCAUUGAGGUUUUUCCCAUACUUAUGCAAUGAAUGCACAUAUCUCAUAUUUCAUGUUGAUUUCACUUCCCGGGGCUUCGAGAAUUACCUACACAUGUGCACGGAACAAACAACCGUACGUUUAGUGAUAAAGCUUGGUGGUACUUUCAUGAUUCAAGGUAAUAUAACAUAAAGUAACAUUUAUAACAUCCUAUGAUAUUUAUAAUCUCAAUGCCUACUAAUACAUAUUCUAUAUUGUAACAUAAGUAUAUAAUUAAUUACAUAUAAAUGUAUACAAUUAUCAAGGCAAACUAAUUCAACUAUCAUAGAAAAAGAAUGAAAAAAUUCAAUUACAUAUAUCAAAAGCUAUCUUAAGGCCUUUAGUUAUCAACACCAAUUAACAAUUUAAAACAUUCAAAAAGCAUUCGUUAUGAAAUUCAAUAUCAAGUUCAUUUCACAUAAAAAUCUAUUUAACAAAUCGCCCGAACCUCUUUGUGGAGUCUAUUGACUCAUUCAUAUUCAUUUCAAUAUUAUAUUCUAUUAUUAAUCUAUUUAUUUCAAUUUCAAAUAUAAUGUUACGCCUGAUGGAACCUUAGUAAAACGGACUCAAAUACACGGGGUAAACUACAUCACACCAGAUAGCUCAUAGGAGCUUAAACUACAACACACCAGGGCACCAAAGUGCAAAGUCUGAAAGCAUCAAAUGCAUAUUCAUAUGCUAAUACACCCUCCACCACACCAUAUUAUACUCUAUGAUCCACAAAAAAUGCUAGAUCCCGGUAUAACCUGUCAUGGCAUCCGUACAAACACAUAUCCCAUACAAGCGCGCAUAAAAAUCUAUUGGCAUGUCAAUCGUAUAUUAACCUUUUACUAAGUUUACACGAGCCUCAAUUAUAUAUGUAAGUAUUUUUCAUACAUGUAAUCAUCUUACUCUCAUAUUCAUAGAUUGUAUUCGAUCACAUAUGUAUUUUUGUACCCUAUACACUGUUCUAUCGCAUAACAAUUAUUUUGCAAUUUAGUACAUAUAUCAUUUCUCGGCCGAAUUCACAAUCACAACCCCAUUUCAACAUCAAACACACAUAUUUCAUAUUAUAAGAUAUAUUUCAAUAUAGUUUUCAUAUCACAUAUCAUAAUUUGAGUAUCUCAUAUCAUUUCUCAUUUAUUCAUUUUAGUCUUCUAUAUUGAUGUUCUAUAUCAAAUUCAAUCGAAAAAUUCCAUAUUAUCAUAAUAGACACACCUCAAUGAUUCAACAAUCAAUAAACAUGCAUAUAAAAUCAAGCAAUUCUAUCCCGAAUGAUAAAAGUACAACCCAAAGUUUCAAAUGUCACUUGUCGACAAUUUUCGCUUUUCCUUUCCCUUUCGACUAUUCGAUGUUGUCAUUAGCUACGGAUAAUCAUAAAACAUAUCAUACAAUCAAUUUCCAGCCAAAUCAGAAUCAAAUACGAAAUCACAAAGACUUUGCAAUUUAUUUAAUUUAACCCUAAAAAUUAGGACGAGCAUAACUUUCAAUUUAGGGCUUUGGUUAAAAUUUGAUUUCACCUAAACUCAUCAGAGACCUUCUAUUUUCUAUUCCUACCAAAAAUUCAUGACAAUUUUUCAUUUUAUCCAAUUUGGUCCAUAAUGUACGAAACUAACAAUUAAGCUUUACAAUUUAGUCCUUUUUAUAAACUAAGGGUCUGUUUGAUUGCCAGUAAAAUAUUUUCCGUAAAAUGAUUUCUGGAAAAUGUUUUACUUUUCUGUAAAAUGAUUUACUGAAAAAUAUUUUCUGGUAUUUGAUUGAAUCUGUGUAAAAUAUUUUCUGCUGCUUGGCAGAUUUUUUGAAAAUAUUUUUCGGAAAAGUUGUUUUUACAUAUAUUAAUAUAUAUUAAUAAAUUUUUAUAUUAUACAUUAUUUUUACAUAUAUUGCAAUGAUUUAUUUAUAAUAAUACUCAAUUAUUAAGCUACAAUAUUAAUCGUUAUAAAUUGAAAAAAAACUAAUAUCAAAUAAAUUAUUUGUAAUUGUGUUAAAAAAACAAGUAUUGAAUAAUUAAAAAAACAAGUUACUGGAAAAUCGAUAAACAGAAGCAGUUUUCUACAGGAAAUGAAGGAAGGAAUGAAGGAGGCGAUAGAGAGGAGAGCACGGAAAAUGUCUUACGGAAAUUGAAAGGGUAAGACAUUUUCCCUAAAAUGUAACCCAUUUUCCCUUGUUUUGGAGUUCAUUUUCCAAAUUGAUACAUGAGCUAGCUAAAUCAAGCUCCCAUUACCUUAAAUCUACAAAAAAUUACAAGAAAAGGGCUUGAUUGCAUACCAAUAUGUAGCCGAAAGCUUGAAGAAACUUAAAGUUUUCUUCUUCUUCUUUCUUUGGUUUUGAUGGUGGAAGAAGUUGAAUUAAUGUUCAUCUUUCCUUCCACCAAGCUAUAUGUUUAAUUAUAAUAAUUUUAAUUACUAAUCGUAUUUAAUGAGAAACCAAUACCACAGUCUACUAAUACUUGGUUAAGAAUGGUUUAUUAAUCAUUUUGGCCUCUUUGGAUAAUUGUAAUUUAAGUCUUUAAGCCUUUUUCUAAUUAAAAAUAGAUUACGAUUGGACUUUUCCAAUUUAGUCACUAGGCCUUAAUUAACCAUAAUUUCGGCUAAAUUGACUAUCCAAAUUUCAAUUCAUCUAUCGGGUUGUUACAAUCGUCUUUCGAUCUAGUUCAAUAGAGAAGAGGAAGUCAAAGGGCAUUUUUGAUGAAAGUCGCCUUUCGAUCUAAUUCAAUUGAUAGAAAGGAGACUAAACUUGUUUUUUGAGGGCCCUUGAGGUGGGAUCAUCCUUCCAUCUAUGAUCAAGUCUAGAUGACCCUUGGAGAGAUCUAAUUUGAUUCCACUCACAAAGGAGAUAGAACCUAUUUUCAAAAUCAAGUCUCGUCAACCCUUGAAACAGACUCAACCAUCUAAGUUCAAGUCUCAAAGACCCUUGGAUUGAAACUCUCUCCAAAUCUAUUUUCAAAAUUAAGUUUCGAUGAAUCUUGAAACAUACAUCAUUAAUUCAAGAUCAAAUCUUAAAAAACACUUGAAUCCAAUCAGAUCAAAUUCUCAAGCAAGCACUCUCCAAAUCAAGUCUCAACUAUCCUUGAAGCAACUAGUAUCCUUUUAAUAUCAAGUGUAAAUGAACUUGGGUCAAAGCUCAACCAAAGAGAAAAAUCAAAUGAGUUUUCUUUGUAAUUGGAAAAUCCAAAAAUUAUAUUUCUUUUCAAAGUUUAUAAAUAAAAUUUAACCCCGAGUUUUGUCUGUACAAUUAGUAUAGAUUGCAAACUCAUACUUUCAAAAUAAAUGUUUGUAUUUAAUAUGCUAGGAGUUCCUAAAUUUAAAAUUUAGUGCUAUUUUGAAAAAGUAAAUUCUGUGCUUUUUUUUUUCAGUUUAAAAAUCUUGGGCAUGUUAACUUCCAUCCAAUUUUGGCCUUAGUUGUUCGCAUAUUGUAAAAAGUGGCAAAAUAAUCUUUUUAGUUCUCAACAUUUACAAUUUUUGUCAAUUUAACCUUUUACUUUUUAAAAUAUAUUAAAAAAUUCUAUUUUUUUAAUCUUUUUAAUAAAAAUUGUAAUGUUUUUUUAAGAUACAAAACUAUUAAAAAAUCUUUAAAAUUCAUAAAUUGAGAAUAAAAAAUCAUUUUAAAAAUUAUUAAAAAUAUAAAAAAAUUUUAAAAAAAAGUAUUUACUCCUUAAAUGUAUUUGUUUGAUCGUAUUAAAUAAGAUUUGAACAAGUAUUUCCUAAUUUAAAUUUAAAUACACCAUAUAUAUUUUUUCCCGUUUAAGAUACAGUAUAUAAAAUUUUAAGAUAUAAUUAUAAUAUAUAAAUUUUGUAUAAAUAAAAAUUAAAAAAAAAAGAUGGUGCAGUUUUGGUGAUGCAUUUUCAAAAGGCAUGGCUAGAAGUAGUGAAUCACAUAAGUUUGUUUCAUUCUAAAUUUCAAAUAAAAAGACAAAAUUUAAAAAUUUUAAAAAGUAGAGGGGUGUUUUUAUACAUUAAUUGAAAUAUAAAAAAAGUAGAGAAAAUUUAGAGAUCAUAGAUCCGUGUUUGUUUUGAAAACAAAAGCUCUAACCUUGGAAGUGUCUGGAAUACUUGCACACCUGUAAUUCACCCCUUCAUUUCUUUGUGGCUAAGUAAAAUCCUUUCCCGUCCGUCAGUCAUCCAACUAUCAGUCUCAAAUCAUUCUUUUACAUCUCUACUCUCUAUUUAUCUAUAUAACACCAAAUCCCCCUCUCUAUAGCAUCUAAAUCCUGCCAAUUAAUGGAGUUCCGUAGGCACCCGCCCUCCCCACCGCCCCCAGACCCUUUUGCACCACCCCCACCACCCCCACCACGACAAGAUCCUUUUGCACCACCACCACCCCCCUUAUAUGGUGCACCCCCACCACCUCCGCCUUACUAUGCUGCACCUCCUCCUCCCGCACCCCCUCAUCACCACCAUCCACCAGGUCCACCGCCACCGCCUCAUGCUUUUUCACCACCUCCUGGACCUCCUCCACCACCUUAUUUUGAUCCAUAUAGGCCACCACCGCCUUGGAAUCGCCCUCCUCCACCAUACUAGCUAGCUAUAAAUAAUUGCCUUGGGAGUUUUAUAUUUCAGCAGUCUACAAGCUUUAUCUCCCCAUGGCGCAAUUAGAGGUUAUGUAGAUUUCUUUACCCUUCUUCCUUUUCCCCGCUC